GAGGUGUAACGUCACGCAU
Molecule: ribosomal RNA, 19 nt
Filed under: Dicranum drummondii
Lineage: Eukaryota; Viridiplantae; Streptophyta; Bryopsida; Dicranales; Dicranaceae
Description: partial 26S ribosomal RNA
Source: RNAcentral